GAUGAACGCUGACAGAAUGCUUAACACAUGCAAGUCGAUGGGGAAGUGGUGCUUGCACCAUGGUAACCAUGGCGGACGGGUGAGUAACGCGUAAGGAACUUACCUGCGGGACCGGGAUAACAGCAGGAAACUGCUGACAAGACCGGAUAAGGUCAUUAAGCUGCAUAGCUUAGUGAUGAAAGGAGACGCCUGCGGAGAGCCUUGCGUCCUAUUAGCUAGUUGGAGGGGUAACGGCCCACCAAGGCGAAGAUAGGUAGCCGGCCUGAGAGGGUGGACGGCCACAAGGGGACUGCGAUACGGCGCUUACUCCUACGGGAGGCAGCAGUGGGGAAUAUUGGACAAUGGGGGCAGCCCUGAUCCAGCAAUUCUGUGUGCACGAAGACGGUUUUCGGAUUGUAAAGUGCUUUCAGCAGGGAAGAAGGAAGUGACGGUACCUGCAGAAGAAGCGACGGCUAAAUACGUG
RNAcentral lists this ribosomal RNA (463 nucleotides) under uncultured bacterium. RNAcentral's name for it is "partial 16S ribosomal RNA". It matches the Rfam family "Bacterial small subunit ribosomal RNA", at positions 28 to 507 of the family's 1533-position model. The record is from RNAcentral.